RNAcentral lists this long non-coding RNA (257 nucleotides) under Lathyrus oleraceus (garden pea). Its description in RNAcentral is "Pisum sativum (pea) long non-coding RNA (PSAT_LNC001434)". The record is from RNAcentral. Lineage: Eukaryota; Viridiplantae; Streptophyta; Magnoliopsida; Fabales; Fabaceae.
UUACUUAGAAAUUGAAACAUACAAACCAAACAUCCAGAAAUUUACCCAAAAAUUGAAACAUACAAACCAAACAUACAACCCAGAAUUUAAUUUACGCAGAAAUUUAAUUUCUUUUUACCUAGAAUUUGAAACAUACAAACCAAGAAUUUCUGAAAGAUUGCCAAACAUCCCAGACUCCAAUUUCUUCAAAAACAAUGUUCAUCACUUACAGGAGAAAUUGUCGGCGUAUCAUCAUCGGAAGCUUAACUGAAUUGAAC